Molecule: transfer RNA, 67 nt
Filed under: Rissa tridactyla (black-legged kittiwake)
Lineage: Eukaryota; Metazoa; Chordata; Aves; Charadriiformes; Laridae
Description: tRNA-Cys
Source: RNAcentral
GACUCUGUGGUGAAGUUCAUGUUGAGUUGCAAGCUCAUUGAUGUGCACUAAAAGUGUACCGGAGUCU